This 1123-nucleotide ribosomal RNA is filed under the name Salmonella enterica. RNAcentral's name for it is "partial 23S ribosomal RNA". It matches the Rfam family "Bacterial large subunit ribosomal RNA", at positions 1073 to 2179 of the family's 2925-position model. Lineage: Bacteria; Pseudomonadati; Pseudomonadota; Gammaproteobacteria; Enterobacterales; Enterobacteriaceae. The record is from RNAcentral.
AUGUGGGAAGGCCCAGACAGCCAGGAUGUUGGCUUAGAAGCAGCCAUCAUUUAAAGAAAGCGUAAUAGCUCACUGGUCGAGUCGGCCUGCGCGGAAGAUGUAACGGGGCUAAACUAUGCACCGAAGCUGCGGCAGCGACACUAUGUGUUGUUGGGUAGGGGAGCGUUCUGUAAGCCUGUGAAGGUGUGUCGUGAGGCAUGCUGGAGGUAUCAGAAGUGCGAAUGCUGACAUAAGUAACGAUAAAGCGGGUGAAAAGCCCGCUCGCCGGAAGACCAAGGGUUCCUGUCCAACGUUAAUCGGGGCAGGGUGAGUCGACCCCUAAGGCGAGGCCGAAAGGCGUAGUCGAUGGGAAACGGGUUAAUAUUCCCGUACUUGGUGUUACUGCGAAGGGGGGACGGAGAAGGCUAUGUUGGCCGGGCGACGGUUGUCCCGGUUUAAGCGUGUAGGUGUGUGUUCCAGGUAAAUCCGGUUCACUUUAACACUGAGGCGUGAUGACGAGGCACUACGGUGCUGAAGCAACAAAUGCCCUGCUUCCAGGAAAAGCCUCUAAGCAUCAGGUAACAUCAAAUCGUACCCCAAACCGACACAGGUGGUCAGGUAGAGAAUACCAAGGCGCUUGAGAGAACUCGGGUGAAGGAACUAGGCAAAAUGGUGCCGUAACUUCGGGAGAAGGCACGCUGACACGUAGGUGAAGUGAUUUACUCAUGGAGCUGAAGUCAGUCGAAGAUACCAGCUGGCUGCAACUGUUUAUUAAAAACACAGCACUGUGCAAACACGAAAGUGGACGUAUACGGUGUGACGCCUGCCCGGUGCCGGAAGGUUAAUUGAUGGGGUCAGCGCAAGCGAAGCUCCUGAUCGAAGCCCCGGUAAACGGCGGCCGUAACUAUAACGGUCCUAAGGUAGCGAAAUUCCUUGUCGGGUAAGUUCCGACCUGCACGAAUGGCGUAAUGAUGGCCAGGCUGUCUCCACCCGAGACUCAGUGAAAUUGAACUCGCUGUGAAGAUGCAGUGUACCCGCGGCAAGACGGAAAGACCCCGUGAACCUUUACUAUAGCUUGACACUGAACAUUGAGCCUUGAUGUGUAGGAUAGGUGGGAGGCUUUGAAGUGUGGACGCCAGUCUGC